Molecule: ribosomal RNA, 404 nt
Filed under: uncultured bacterium
Lineage: Bacteria
Description: bacterial SSU rRNA
Rfam family: Bacterial small subunit ribosomal RNA
Source: RNAcentral
AUUGAACGCUGGCGGCAGGCCUAACACAUGCAAGUCGAGCGGUAGAGAGAAGCUUGCUUCUCUUGAGAGCGGCGGACGGGUGAGUAAUGCCUAGGAAUCUGCCUGGUAGUGGGGGGAUAACGUUCGGAAACGGACGCUAAUACCGCAUACGUCCUACGGGAGAAAGCAGGGGACCUUCGGGCCUUGCGCUAUCAGAUGAGCCUAGGUCGGAUUAGCUAGUUGGUGAGGUAAUGGCUCACCAAGGCGACGAUCCGUAACUGGUCUGAGAGGAUGAUCAGUCACACUGGAACUGAGACACGGUCCAGACUCCUACGGGAGGCAGCAGUGGGGAAUAUUGGACAAUGGGCGAAAGCCUGAUCCAGCCAUGCCGCGUGUGUGAAGAAGGUCUUCGGAUUGUAAAGCAC